GCGGGUGUAGUUCAAUGGUAGAACCCCAGCCUUCCAAGCUGGUCGUGUGGGUUCGAUUCCCAUCACCCGCUCCA
This 74-nucleotide transfer RNA is filed under the name [Clostridium] innocuum. RNAcentral describes it as "tRNA-Gly". It matches the Rfam family "tRNA". Rfam says of the family: Transfer RNA (tRNA) molecules are approximately 80 nucleotides in length. Lineage: Bacteria; Bacillati; Bacillota; Clostridia; Eubacteriales; Clostridiaceae. The record is from RNAcentral. RNAcentral also lists the same sequence under 23 other names.